RNAcentral lists this ribosomal RNA (214 nucleotides) under Mus musculus domesticus (western European house mouse). Its description in RNAcentral is "partial 16S ribosomal RNA". The record is from RNAcentral. Lineage: Eukaryota; Metazoa; Chordata; Mammalia; Rodentia; Muridae.
ACACAAAUAUAAUUAUACUAUUAUAUAAAUCAAAACAUUUAUCCUACUAAAAGUAUUGGAGAAAGAAAUUCGUACAUCUAGGAGCUAUAGAACUAGUACCGCAAGGAAAGAUGAAAGACUAAUUAAAAGUAAGAACAAGCAAAGAUUAAACCUUGUACCUUUUGCAUAAUGAACUAACUAGAAAACUUCUAACUAAAAGAAUUACAGCUAGAAA